UUACACAUUUCUUACACAUUUCCUCAAUUAUGCACUACUAGCCCCCUCAUUUCAUAUUUCUAUUUCUCUCUCCAAACACAAAUUUCUCACACAAACACACACUCUCGUCUCUUUCACCCAAAAAAACCCUAGCGCCGCAGCCUCCCUCUCUUCUCGUCUCUCUUUCAUUCUCCAACCCUAGCGCCGCAACCACUUUCUCCACCCUCUAUACGACCAUAACCACCUCCUCAUUGUCUUCCAAAUGAACCGAAUAGUUGUUUCGUUUUGGCGAAUCCUAUUGUUGACCACCGUCACAACUCAUGUAGGGAAGAGAAACCUCAAUCAUGGCUUCAAGUUUAAAGAGGGAAGUUUUCAUGUUUUUAUUUGAUUUUUUAUUUUAGUUUUGAAUUGCUGGUCUACAAUUUUUAUUUUCAUUUGGUUUUGUUUUACGGUUUUGAUAGUUUUUGGUCUUGAAGGUGAAUAACAACAGUAACUAUCAUCAUAAAUUCAUAUCAUUGUCUUGACGGUUAAUGAUUUUCAUCGAUGAUUAUUCCAUCGGUCAAAACAGAAUGAAUAUUUCUUGUCUACUUUAGACUCUUCAGUUUUGGGAACAUUGAGAAUUUGUAAUUUUUGAAGGUUUGCUCUAAGGAUUGAAGUUCUUUGGUCGUAGUAGCAGGUUGCUGUGUCAAAAAUCUAUUUCCAUUGUCGAAUCUACCGGUUCAUUUUUAACAUAUAUAUGGAGGUCAACGAGGUGAAUGGGUAUAUCAUAACUUGACUAGCAUUUUUAGCUUCAGCUAAGAUGGGAAGGAAAGUACUCUUAAAUUGAUGUUAUUCCAGAUUACUUGUGGUCAACAGACAGUAGUAGUAAUGGCAGCGCAAAGGAGAAAAUGAAGGCAAUGGAGCAAACAUUGUUGAAAGGAAAGAAUUCAAGAUGAUUGUGUUGGUUCUGCUUUUGUGUAAUCCACCUUGAAAGGCAGUCAUUCAAGUUCAUAACAUUGAAGACUUCAAAUAGUUGAAUACAAGUUACAGCCCUGUUCCUAAGCAGUUGGCUUCCCCAGCUAUGAUAAUUUUUGAAUGUUCCUCCAGCAUUUUUGGUUCGCUUCCUAAUAGAACACUGCUCAGAAUGGACUGAUUUCAAUGUUAAUGUUUAUUAUGCUGCAUCGCUGAAAGCUGGAAACUAUGCUUAUUGUGACCUGAUGGUGUAUGUUCAGCUGAGUUGUUUCAGCAGCUGGGGGAGUGGAUGACGACUUGGCAUGGACUGGAAAAGCAAGAUAUAAUUGAUACAUAGUUAUUUUUAUGUCCUCAAAUUCAUAUGAUAGUUGUGUUUGUAAUAUGCAUUUAACAUGAGCAUUAAGUUAUGUAUACACUUUGGUAAUAUUUUUCUUGAGUUAUGCAUCACAUAUAUAAUUAUGAUCACAUAUAAGUAGAUCACAUAUAUAAAUACAUAAUUGGUGCAUGAAUUUUAGAUAGUUGUAAUAUACAAUUUUGUUAUACUUUGGUAAUAUUUUUCUUGAGUUAUGCAUCACAUAUAUAAUUAUGAUCACAUAUAAUUAGAUCACAUAUAUAAAUACAUAAUUGGUGCAUGAAUUUUAGAUAGUUGUAAUAUACAAUUUUGUUAUAGGUCUUCUUCACCUUUGACCUUAUUCCUAACACCUCUUAUAUGAUACAUAUAUACUUUUUUUUUAAUUUUAUAUUAGCUCUUAUAUGGUUUAUACUUUUUGAUUUUGUAUUGUAUUUCUUAUUUCAUUUUCUUAUUUAUCAUGAAAGUUUGAAAUAAAAUUUGAUUUAUGAUAUCGACUA
Vicia villosa (hairy vetch) is the source of this 1779-nucleotide long non-coding RNA. RefSeq lists it as uncharacterized. The record is from RefSeq and is a predicted model, not a curated record. Lineage: Eukaryota; Viridiplantae; Streptophyta; Magnoliopsida; Fabales; Fabaceae. The transcript has 7 exons.